CCUGCUCAGAACGAACGCUGGCGGCGUGUUUAAGACAUGCAAGUCGCACGGAAUGAAACCGGUAUUUAUAUUGGAUGAUUUUAGUGGCGCACGGGUGAGUAACACGUGAAUUACAUGCCCUGUAGAGGGGGAUAGCCCGCCGAAAGGCGGAUUAAUACCCCAUGGUCCCGCAAGGGUAAAGGUGGCUUCGGCUGCCGCUACAGGAUUGGUUCGCGCCCUAUCAGCUUGUUGGCGAGGUAACGGCUCACCAAGGCAAUGACGGGUAACUGGUCUGAGAGGACGAUCAGUCACACUGGAACUGAGACACGGUCCAGACACCUACGGGUGGCAGCAGUCGAGAAUAAUUCACAAUGGGGGCAACCCUGAUGGUGCAACGCCGCGUGGAGGAUGACGGUCUUAGGAUUGUAAACUCCUGUCAUCUGGGAGAAAGACCUGGGAGUUAAUAGCUCACAGGGUUGAUAGUACCAGAAGAGGAAGGGACGGCUAACUUCGUGCCAGCAGCCGCGGUAAUACGAAGGUCCCGAGCGUUGUUCGGAAUCACUGGGCGUAAAGGGAGCGUAGGCGGCGCGGUAAGUCGGAUGUGAAAUCCCGGGGCUCAACCCCGGAACUGCAUCUGAUACUGCCGUGCUAGAGUAAUGGAGGGGUAGCUGGAAUUCUCGGUGUAGCAGUGAAAUGCGUAGAUAUCGAGAGGAACACUCGUGGCGAAAGCGAGCUACUGGACAUUUACUGACGCUGAGGCUCGAAGGCUAGGGGAGCGAAAGGGAUUAGAUACCCCUGUAGUCCUAGCAGUAAA
RNAcentral lists this ribosomal RNA (793 nucleotides) under Luteolibacter sp. RNAcentral describes it as "bacterial SSU rRNA". It matches the Rfam family "Bacterial small subunit ribosomal RNA", at positions 19 to 806 of the family's 1533-position model. The record is from RNAcentral. Lineage: Bacteria; Pseudomonadati; Verrucomicrobiota; Verrucomicrobiia; Verrucomicrobiales; Verrucomicrobiaceae.